This 478-nucleotide ribosomal RNA is filed under the name uncultured bacterium. Its description in RNAcentral is "partial 16S ribosomal RNA". It matches the Rfam family "Bacterial small subunit ribosomal RNA", at positions 28 to 523 of the family's 1533-position model. The record is from RNAcentral.
GACGAACGCUGGCGGCGUGCUUAACACAUGCAAGUCGAACGGUAAGGCCCUUCGGGGUACACGAGUGGCGAACGGGUUAGUAACACGUGGGUGAUCUGCCCUGCACUUCGGGAUAAGCCUGGGGAACUGGGUCUAAUACCGGAUAGGAACUCUUCCUGCAUGGGUGGGGGUGGAAAGCUUUUGCGGUGUGGGAUGGGCCCGCGGCCAAUCAGCUUGUCGGUGGGGUGAUGGCCUACCAAGGCGACGACGGGUAGCCGGCCUGAGAGGGUGACCGGCCACACUGGGACUGAGAUACGGCCCAGACUCCUACGGGAGGCAGCAGUGGGGAAUAUUGCACAAUGGGCGCAAGCCUGAUGCAGCGACGCCGCGUGAGGGAUGACGGCCUUCGGGUUGUAAACCUCUUUCAGCACCGACGAAGCGCAAGUGACGGUAGGUGCAGAAGAAGGACCGGCCAACUACGUGCCAGCAGCCGCAGUAA